Molecule: non-coding RNA, 1098 nt
Organism: Monodelphis domestica (gray short-tailed opossum)
Lineage: Eukaryota; Metazoa; Chordata; Mammalia; Didelphimorphia; Didelphidae
Source: RefSeq, a predicted model, not a curated record
AACGGAAGAGGGAGAGGAAGCGGAAGGGCGUCACGGGUGACGCCGCCAUUCCACCAUGGCGGCCCUGGAGGCCGCGGCCGCUGCCGCCCCGGGGUUGCUGGGCGUCCUAUGGCUCCUGUCUGUGACCGUGAGCGCGGGACCGUGGGGGGCAGCGGCCGCUGCCGCGGGGGGCGACGAGACGGUCAAGUGCGAGGACCUGAGAGUGGGACAAUAUUUUUGUAAAGAUCCUGAAAUCAAUGAGGCCACCCAAGAACCUGUUAACUGUACAAAUUACACAGCUCAUGCUUCGUGUUACCCAGCACCCAACAUAACCUGUAAGGAUUUUAGUGGCAAUGAAACGCAUUUUACUGGACAUGAGAUUGGUUUUUUCAAGGCAAUCCCUUGCCGUAAUGUAAACGGCUAUUCCUACCGGGUGGCAGUUGCCCUCUCUCUGUUUCUUGGCUGGUUAGGAGCAGACAGGUUUUACUUGGGAUACCCUGCUUUAGACCACCUAGGCAGCCUAGGACUGGAUCUUGAACCCAGGAGCCUUGGGAAUAGCAUUGCCCUCAAACCACCAGACCUGCUAUCAGUCCAACCUCCAUAGCCAUCAUUGAGGGGGAAAAUCAUUGUGGAGAAGGAGCGUACCGUGCCCAUUACCACCAGCAACAACCUGUGACCAUCAGCAGACAUAGAUCAUCACAAGUCACCCCAUUCCUGUGGUCCUGCUUCUAGCCUAGCCUUCAGCCAUUAUCCAGAGAAACAACAUUGUGGAGAAGAAGCCAGCUGUCCUCACCAUCUGCCACCUACAAGGCUGGCUGGCCAACCUAACCGAAGCAGCAAGACCUUUGAAGGGAAAGGGGGGCUGCAGACCCAGCUGCUGAAGACUCAAAAGGAAGUGCUUGGCCCUGUCCAGGGACUCAAAAUCAGAAAACAAUGAGAUUUUAGCAGUGAAAAUGAAAUGAAAGAAAAGACUUUCAUCUGCUUUGCUCUUGAACCCUAAGGACUAUGGGACUUUUCCAUCUGAUUUAUAGUUAGAACCUCCCAGGUUUGUUAAAAUUUUGCACUGUAGGAUUUUGUGGGAUUGGCAGUCUGAUAGACUUUAUUCUCAUUUCAAUGCAG